RNAcentral lists this ribosomal RNA (765 nucleotides) under uncultured Streptococcus sp. Its description in RNAcentral is "bacterial SSU rRNA". It matches the Rfam family "Bacterial small subunit ribosomal RNA", at positions 28 to 776 of the family's 1533-position model. The record is from RNAcentral. Lineage: Bacteria; Bacillati; Bacillota; Bacilli; Lactobacillales; Streptococcaceae.
GACGAAACGCAGGCGGCGUGCUAAUACAUGCAAGUAGAACGCUGAAGAGAGGAGCUUGCUCUUCUUGGACGAGUUGCGUACGGGUGAGUAGCGCGUAGGUAACCUGCCUUGUAGCGGGGGAUAACUAUUGGAAACGAUAGCUAAUACCGCAUAACAAUAGGUGACACAUGUCAUUUAUUUGAAAGGGGCAAUUGCUCCACUACAAGAUGGACCUGCGUUGUAUUAGCUAGUAGGUGAGGUAACGGCUCACCUAGGCGACGAUACAUAGCCGACCUGAGAGGGUGAUCGGCCACACUGGGACUGAGACACGGCCCAGACUCCUACGGGAGGCAGCAGUAGGGAAUCUUCGGCAAUGGGGGCAACCCUGACCGAGCAACGCCGCGUGAGUGAAGAAGGUUUUCGGAUCGUAAAGCUCUGUUGUAAGUCAAGAACGAGUGUGAGAGUGGGAAGUUCACACUGUGACGGUAGCUUACCAGAAAGGGACGGCUAACUACGUGCCAGCAGCCGCGGUAAUACGUAGGUCCCGAGCGUUGUCCGGAUUUAUUGGGCGUAAAGCGAGCGCAGGCGGUUUGAUAAGUCUGAAGUUAAAGGCUGUGGCUCAACCAUAGUUCGCUUUGGAAACUGUCAAACUUGAGUGCAGAAGGGGAGAGUGGAAUUCCAUGUGUAGCGGUGAAAUGCGUAGAUAUAUGGAGGAACACCGGUGGCGAAAGCGGCUCUCUGGUCUGUAACUGACGCUGAGGCUCGAAAGCGUGGGGAGCGAACAGG